AGAGCGAACGCUGGCGGCAGGCCUAAUACAUGCAAGUCGAACGAACUCUUCGGAGUUAGUGGCGCACGGGUGCGUAACGCGUGGGAAUCUGCCCCUUGGUUCGGAAUAACAGUUGGAAACGACUGCUAAUACCGGAUGAUGACGAAAGUCCAAAGAUUUAUCGCCAAGGGAUGAGCCCGCGUAGGAUUAGCUAGUUGGUGAGGUAAAGGCUCACCAAGGCAACGAUCCUUAGCUGGUCUGAGAGGAUGAUCAGCCACACUAGGGACUGAGACACGGCCCAGACUCCUACGGGAGGCAGCAGGUAGGGAAUAUUAGACGAAGUGGGACGAAAGCCUAGAUCCGAGCAAUUGACCGCGUGACGGUAGAGUAGAAGGCCGUUAGGUAGUAAAG
RNAcentral lists this ribosomal RNA (390 nucleotides) under uncultured soil bacterium. RNAcentral describes it as "bacterial SSU rRNA". It matches the Rfam family "Bacterial small subunit ribosomal RNA", at positions 26 to 430 of the family's 1533-position model. The record is from RNAcentral.